RNAcentral lists this ribosomal RNA (460 nucleotides) under uncultured bacterium. RNAcentral's name for it is "partial 16S ribosomal RNA". It matches the Rfam family "Bacterial small subunit ribosomal RNA", at positions 338 to 795 of the family's 1533-position model. The record is from RNAcentral.
CCUACGGUGUGCAGCAGUGAGGAAUAUUGGUCAAUGGACGAGAGUCUGAACCAGCCAAGUAGCGUGAGGGAUGACUGCCCUAUGGGUUGUCAACUUCUUUUAUAUGGGAAUAAAAUGUUCCACGUGUGGGAUUUUGUAUGUCCCAUAUGAAUAAGGAUCGGCUAACUCCGUGCCAGCAGCCGCGGUAAUACGGAGGAUCCGAGCGUUAUCCGGAUUUAUUGGGUUUAACGGGGGCGGAGGUGGAUAGUUAAGUCCGUUGUGAAAGUUGGCGGCUCAACCGUAAAAUUGCAGUUGAAACUGGUAGUCUUGAGUGCAGUAGAGGUGUGCGGAAUGCGUGGUGUAGCGGUGAAAUGCUUAGAUAUCACGAAGAACUCCGAUUGCGAAGGCAGCUCACUGGACUGCAACUGACGCUGAGGCGCGAAAGUGUGGGUAUCAAACAGGAUUAGAUACCCCUGUAGUC